CCCUUCUUCAUUGCCUUCCUUCAAUUUUUCAAGAUAUCACCAUGUUCGGUGGUACCCAAUUCAUGGCGGCACAUCUGUGGUUUCAUCGCGGUGUGCAUGUUGGCCAGGAUCGAGCUCAGCAUUGCACUUUUUCACCUCUUCUUCAGCCUUAAGAGGCAUCUAGAAUCCCAUGGAUGGUGGUAGGUGUCACCACGGAGAAAGAAAAAUAUCCGACCACUAAUCCAAGAUGUCCUGAUUGCUGUUC
This 244-nucleotide long non-coding RNA is filed under the name Elaeis guineensis (African oil palm). RNAcentral describes it as "long non-coding RNA (EGUI_LNC008465)". The record is from RNAcentral. Lineage: Eukaryota; Viridiplantae; Streptophyta; Magnoliopsida; Arecales; Arecaceae.